RNAcentral lists this ribosomal RNA (293 nucleotides) under uncultured microorganism. RNAcentral's name for it is "partial 16S ribosomal RNA". It matches the Rfam family "Bacterial small subunit ribosomal RNA", at positions 505 to 796 of the family's 1533-position model. The record is from RNAcentral.
GUGCCAGCAGCCGCGGUAAUACGUAGGGGGCUAGCGUUAUCCGGAAUUACUGGGCGUAAAGGGUGCGUAGGUGGUUUCUUAAGUCAGAGGUGAAAGGCUACGGCUCAACCGUAGUAAGCCUUUGAAACUGGGAAACUUGAGUGCAGGAGAAGGAGAGUGGAAUCCCUAGUGUAGCGGUGAAAUGCGUAGAUAUUAGGAGGACCACCAGUUUGCGAAGGCGGCUCUCUGUACUGUAACUGACACUGAGGCACGAAAGCGUGGGGAGCAAACAGGAUUAGAUACCCUGGUAGUCC